This 262-nucleotide ribosomal RNA is filed under the name uncultured archaeon. Its description in RNAcentral is "partial 16S ribosomal RNA". It matches the Rfam family "Archaeal small subunit ribosomal RNA", at positions 748 to 1008 of the family's 1478-position model. The record is from RNAcentral.
AGGGUGUAAACGCUGCAGACUUGGUGUUGGAAGCCCUUUGGGGGCAUUCAGUGCCGGAGAGAAGUUGUUAAGUCUGCUACUUGGGGGAGUACGUCCGCAAGGAUGAAACUUAAAGGAAUUGGCGGGGGAGCACCGCAACGGGAGGAGCGUGCGGUUUAAUUGGAUUCAACACCGUAAAACUCACCAGGGAAGACUGUUACAUGAAGGCCGAGAUGAAGACUCUGCUAGAUUUUCAGAGAGGUGGUGCAUGGCGUCAGUGACU